Long non-coding RNA from Pelodiscus sinensis (Chinese soft-shelled turtle), 706 nucleotides. RefSeq lists it as uncharacterized. NCBI's taxonomy places the organism in Eukaryota, Metazoa, Chordata, Testudines, Trionychidae. The record is from RefSeq and is a predicted model, not a curated record.
UCUCUUGUGGCUGGACUGUGCUUUGGGCCAAGAGCUGAAAUCACUGAGAGCUGAGAUCAUUACGUUUGGCCCAGAGUCAAAUCCACCAUAAGCCAGUGGAAAAUGCAACAAGCAGCAUGAGCAGCCAACAGGGUGGUAAUGGAGAGGCAUGAGGAGCAGCUAGCAGAGUGGCAGCAGCAAAGGACAACCAAUGGUGAAGCGUGAGGAACAGCCAGCAGACCAGCAACAGUGAGGGGCAACGAAUGACCAGCAGAGCAGCACCAGAGAGCAGCAAGCAGGCGGAUGAUUCUGUGCUUGCGAGUGGGGAAGCACUGCCGCUCAGAGGUGCCCAGAAGGUUGUGUGAAUUUCCCAGGUUACUGGGUAGGCCGUAAGCCAGUUCUGUGUUGGAAGGAUGGAGAGGAACCCCUAGAUAUUGAAGUUGGCCCUGACUGCUACUGGAACUGCCUGGCAGGGAUCACGCCAAGCCUAGAAAGCUAUAAAACAUAAAAUGUGGAAUAGUACAUUACAAGUCAAUAUAUCAUUAUAAUGGGAGAAACAUCUCCGAUUCUCUUUUCUGAAGGAACAACCUAAAGGAAGGGAAAACAGAAGUUGUGAGAAUUGAUUCUAUCCAAUGAAUAAAAGGCCUGCAUGAAAUGUCUGUUUUUUGCCUGCUGAAAGGGGCUCAUCUAGAACUAAUCCUACCUGGUACCUGACAAUCUAAUGUGA